CAGAUGGAGAGUGUCAGGCUGGUAGGUUGAGGCCAGAUUUUCAAGCACCUGUCUAUCUACCAUGUUGACGAGUCGGUACUUCCUUCUGUAGGUAACAUUCAAGUGUUAUAAGCAGUGGGGGCUAUGUGUGUGACAUGAUGAAAUUCGUAUUUUAGAAAGAUCACUUUGAGAUGAUGCUUUGGAGGUGGAAAGGAAGCGGAGAAACUGGUCAAGAGACUCUUGGAACAGUCCAGUCAAGAGAUGAUGUGGGUGUGAAUUCAGCAUUAACCAGCAUCUGUUGCAUCUACUUACUGUCUCAUUUGCUUGGUAAAACACCUAGCUCAUGUUAUGCAUCCAUAAAUACUAUCAAAUUUAGUUCUGAAUGACAAAUAAUCUCAUUUUCUUAGAUCAAUAAAGAAGCACAUAAGUGACAGCAAUAGGGAAGUGUUUACUUGAGAUGCAAAGUAGGGGAGUGCCCAAGAAAUGAGGUAGAUCUUGUGUGAUGUCGACCUCAGGAAUCCAGAAUGUGGCCCUCCAGAGUAGCCAGAACUGGUGCCUGUCAGAAUUACAAGUUCAUAUUUGCAUUUCCCCUUCCUUUGCUUCCUGAUCCCCAUUCCUCUUGUUGAUUCUGCUGUCUGCAACAUGCACGGACGCAAAGAACUAACCUGAAGGAUUGUCUAAUAAUGUAGUUAUGCCUUUAGCAAUCUACAUUAACCUUAUUUGACAAACCGUCAGGGUAUAGAGACAAAGAGAGAUCUUUAUAUUACAGGUUUUAAUGUUAAAUCCUGUCAUAAACUGUUCAGGUAUACUUCACAGAAGGAAAAAUAUAUUUGGUGAACAAUGGAGUCAAGUUAAAACAAGAAAAAGAACAUGUUCUGUUCUUUGGUAAAUGUUUCUCUGCCAAGUAUAGAAGUUCCUCUGUUGUUAGGACCAAUACAAGUAGGGGCUUAAAGGGCCAAGAGCUGCAUGCAGGGUCACCCUGGUGGAUAAACAAAAUUCAUGGAGUUGGUGGUGGUCAGAGGUGCUGGGUGAUUGUAGAACAUGAUUCAAAGAACACUUAGAAUUAGCUCUCUUUGGGGGUAUGUCUGGUGGUUUCCAUUCCUGUAAAUGUAGCAGUGAUCAGAACAGCAAGAGGCCUCAAGAACAGGCAAGUCUUCAACUGAGGUGGGAGAUUUGAGUUCAGGUUUAGCCUCCAACCCUAAUCCCAGUGAGACCUUGGCAAGUCGCUUCAGCCAUCUGAGUGUUAUUUUCUCCAUCAGUAAAUUGAGAUGACCUAGCUCAUCUCUGGGUUCCCUUUCACUCUGACAAAUCCUUUACUCCAUGAUGUCUGAUCUGUGAAAUGUUACCAACAGCUUGUAUAUAGUAGUAAGGGCUCAGUGUGCUUCUCUGUAAAAUAGGGGUAAGGUGAUCUACCUCACAAAGAUGGUGUGAGGAUUACAUUUAAAGUGAGAUCAUGGGUGAAAGUCUUUAGCACCGAACCUAUCAAAUAGUAGGUUCUCAAGAAAUCCCAGUGUCCUUUAUCAGGUCUUCCAUCUGUUAAAAAUGUUUAUUGAGCACUUACUAUGUGAAAAGCUGUGUUCUAGAAGCUGGAUCCAUAAUAGUGAAUAAAAGAUACAAAUUCACUACCUGUGUGGAACUUUCAAUAAACAGACCAAUGAAUGCAUGCUGGCACAUCAUUUCUCCCCUUCUUUCCUCCUUGACUUUCUCUUCCCUCUUCCUCUUCAACCUAUUUUCUCUCAGCUCCUGGUGCAGAUCCUGGCUGAUGAGAAUCUAACCCCAGAAAUGAUAGGUCAAAGGCUGGAGGACUAGUGUGUGAGACUUUGAAUAUUUUUACGCAGGGCCUAGGAAGUGGUGUGGAUAAAUGAGCUUGAAUGGUGACAAGAGUAGGAACAGAGUUAAUCAAAGUAAGUGGAUACCAGGGCUGAACUUGAGUAUUCUCCACAUCUAAGAAUGUUGACAACACUAAGCUGCUUACUUCUUUAGAUGAAACACCUGGAAAGUCAUAUACACAGAGUAUGCAAAGAUAAUUAAAACAACAACAACAACAACAACAACAACAACAACAACAACUUAUGACUCUACAAUCAACUCACUUCACUUACCAUCUGGAGCAGGCCAGGCAAGGCAUUGUUCUCCUAGAGAUUUCCUUUUCUUCUGUUAACCAGUGAUGAACUCCCACUCAUCCAUCAAGCCCCAGAAUGUUUGCUCCAUGAAGACAGAGGUCUUAGUCUCGUUCCCAGAUGUAUCUUCAGUGCCCAGAACAGUGCUUGGCAAAAGCACUCAACAAACAGCUGAAUGAGGAAACUGGGGUCCAGGGCCCAGAGAUCCACUUGAAUCAAAGUGGAUUGAGGAUGCUCCAGUCAGAAUUAUGGAAAUCAGCCCCACAUCUCCCUGGCUGCCAAUAUAGCUCUGACUUUUACCCUCAUUCAGAUAUGUUCUCAUGCCUGAGGCACUGUGCCCGCCGUGGAGCGCCAUUCUGGGUAUCCUGGGAGCAAAUCACCAUCAGCCACUCCUCUAAACUCCUGGAUGUUGUUCUGAGACGUCUCACCGUGACAGCACCUGCGACACAGGUAAGCUUCGUGGAAAUGCUCAGGUGAAGAGGGGCGAGGGGAAGUUGACGGAAGGACAAUUUUCACUGAUGGCAGGACAAGCGAUGAGGAAAUAGCUUGGUCACAGCUGGCUCCAAUCAAGUCUUUACCACAGAGAACAACUCUCACACUGGGAAGGUCAGUGGAAUUCUUUAUAUUUAGGAGUUAUUUCUUAUAAAAAAAAUUCAUCGUGGCCAGUUUAAUAGUGUAAACUUGAGAGGCAGAAAUAGCUCCAUAAAAACAAAAUUAAAACCCAAAACCCUUCUUUCUACUAAUUUUGAGUACUAUGGGAAAAAUCUCUAGCUACUGUUCUUGCUGAGGGGCGUAGGGUGGUCUGCAGAGGUCUGUGGAUACUGACAUUUUCUUCUCUGGUCAUUUCCAUGUAUCAACUGUAGAGAGAGAUCAUGGUAAUUCCAAUGCUUUUCUUGUCUAAAUACCAAAAGAACUCAUCUCCCAUAACCAAACACAGGAAUGACAAAACGAUAAUAAUCUCCCAAACGCGUUAACACGUUCUGUGUGACCUCAGCAUGUCUGUAAAGCCUGUUGUGAAAGAACAGUGACAGACAGGCAGGACAAAAAUGCAUUGACAUCACUUCUGCACUGGGCUGAGGUGCGGCCAUUACUGAGAAGACAGUAGCCUUUUCCUAGCAGGUCCUGAAGCCACAACAGGGCCCAGGAGGCAGUGUCAGGGCCCAGAGCCCUUGCAACAGCUGGCUAGAGUCAGAGGGUGGGGCAGCUGAGCCAGGGGCCAGUGAGACUUUGGAGAGAUGGCCCACACAUGCCUUAGGCAAGCACAUUUAGCUUACCCAAGCAGCUGUUCUUUUCCUCUCCUUCCACAUGGAGCAUCAGACACCCCCUUCUUCCCUGAGACUUAGGGGCCACGAUGACCCGCGGGCCCUCUGCACCUGCUGCCUGGACCGCUGCGAGCACUUCCUAGUCUCUCUACUAUCUUCUCUGCUUCUCCCAUCCACCCUUGGCAUGAACCCUGCAGCGUUUCUAAAAGCAGACUUAGAAUGUGCAAUUCACUGGCCUGGCACUCUCCACUUGCUCCCCAUCGCCAAGGCUGUAAAACUUCUUCUCCUUAGCCUGCAGUAGAAGGUGCCUCUCAUCCUGGCCCCUGCAUUUCUCUCCGGUUUUACCUGCCAUCCCUUCCCGACUGCUCACUAUGUGCCAGCUGCACAAAAUUCCACCAGACUUCUGAGACAGUCCGGUCCUUCCCAACUUGGUGGCUUUGCACAAGCUGUGCUGUGUACCUCGCAUUCUCCCCUGUGGGAACCCCCUCCCUCCUUCAAGAUCCAAACCAAAUGUCAUUUCCACAGUGAAGCCUUCACUGCAUCUCCCUUGCCACCAAGGAUAGAGGGAAUCAUUCCUUAUGCUCCUAUGACGUUUUCCACGCACCUCCAUGAGAGAAGCACUAUGGCAUAGUGGCCACAAAGAUGCACUCCAUAGUAGAUCGCCAGGGUUCAAAGCCCGGCCCAGUACAUGCUACCUCUCUGACUUUGAGCAAAGUACCUCACCUAUGCCUCAGUUUCAUCAGCUGUAAAACGUGGGAGUAAUAAUAGUAAAUACCACAUAGGAUUGCUGUCGGAAAUAAGUGUGUUAAGCACUUAAAACUUUCAGAAGAGUAUCCAUUCAUAAUGAAUGCUCAGUGUGUGCUCGCUAUUAUCCUGUCCACUAAAAAUUGAGUACUGUCAUCAUCUGCUUAGGUGUCUCCUUGUCUAGAAAAGAGGGUGGGGACUGUGUCUUACUCAUGGCUAUAUUCCUGAUGCCUGACAGUUCCAUGUAAUAGGCCCGCAAUAAAUGUUUAUUGAACAAGUAGAUUAUUUUCUGGGCAGUAAAAUAUCCCCAUGACUCCAGAGGUUUUAUCUCAGGGAACUUUAUUUAUUUCUUUGUUUUGCUCCACGGAAAAGAAGACAUUACAUAAAUCCGUAAAGCACUCUGUCCUGCACAGAGCCACUUGAAGUCCGUCUCAUGAGUCCCUCCAUGAAGCGGGAGUAUGGCAUCCUGAUCAGAGUCUUUGUUCUACCAGGGACUGUGUGUCCUUGAACAAGUCACUUUCAUUCGUUUGCUCAAAAUGUUCCUGUCGAACGUGAGUUAUGUGUCGGUUCUAGGGACCAGAGAGAAAGCAUUGCGCAAGACAGCCAAGGUUCCUAUUCGCCAGGACCUCGAGUAGAGGGAAACAGUGUAUCAAGUAAUGAAUAAGAGAAAGAAAAAAAGUUGGAUAGUUUUAAGUGCUAUGAUUGAAAUAAAAUAAGAAAACAUGUGAGAAAGUGCCUGGAAAGGCUACAUUUAAAAAGUAGGUCAAGGAAGGCUUUUCUGAAGGCCAACAGUAACAUUUAGACUUGAGGUUGAGGCCUAGGGGAAGAAGAGUCCAAGCAGAGGGGGCAGCUGCUGCAAGGGUCUGAUAUAAAAUUGAACUCGGAGUGCUCCAGGGAUCAGAAGAAAUUCCGUGUGCCUGGAACUUGGGAGGGUAAGAGUAAUACCACCUGAAGUCAUUAAGAAAGGCAGGGGCCGCACAGGUGGGGGAAAGAAACUGGAUUUUAUACUGAGUGCAACAGGUGGUCACUGGAAGGUUUUGAGCCGGACAGUAAUAUGGUUUGAUAUCCGCUUUUAGAAGAGCCUAAAGGAGAAUGGAUUACGAGAUAAGCAGAGGCGGGAGAAUGAGCCGUGAGACCAGAUAGGAGGCUAUUCCUGUAACGUAGGUGAAUAGCACACAAGCUCAGGUGGUGUCUGUGGAGUAGGACUUGGUGAACCAGAGCCCUGAUGCUGACCGAUUGAAUGUAGGGGUAAAGAAAGAGGAGAAUCAAGAACGGUUCCUAAGUUUUUGCCCGUGGUGUUUGAGGAAAUUCUGUAGGCAAUACGUUCCGCACCUAGGAAUACUACUCCAGUUCACCUCCCAGGUGGCAUACAAGGCUCCCAGUCAUUGGAUGGGGACAGCUGGGCAAGUACAGAACAGAGGUAGGAGAUUCGAGACAUCUGUCUUCAAAAUGUUAAAUUUGAGAUGCCUGGUAGAUAUCCAAAUGGAAAAGACAUGAAGUUACGUACCCAAGUCUUGAGUUCAGGGGAAGAGGUCAGAACUGCGGAUAGGUAAGUAGGAAUCACUGGCCUCACAUAGCGUUUACAGCUACGGGGGCAGGUGUGAUCACCUAGGAUGAGUAUAUAGUCGAAGAAGGAUCCCGGAGCAGAACCCUGGAAAGGGCAGUAUUUGAAGGUGGUGUACUGCGGUCCAGCAAAAUGUACCAAAGGGAAGCAGCCAGUAUCAAAGCAUGAACUCCAGGAGAGAUGUUCUUGGAAGCCAAGAGAAGAAAAUAUUUCAAAACAAAGGGAUUGGUAAACUGGGUCAAAUGCUGCCAAGAGAUGAACUAGGAAGAGGGUUAGAUUUGGUAACAUGGAAAUCUUUGGUGACCUUUCAGCUUCACAUCUCAUCUCUUGGACUCAGU
This is a long non-coding RNA of Felis catus (domestic cat), 6007 nucleotides long. RefSeq lists it as uncharacterized. NCBI's taxonomy places the organism in Eukaryota, Metazoa, Chordata, Mammalia, Carnivora, Felidae. The transcript is spliced from 5 exons. The record is from RefSeq and is a predicted model, not a curated record.